This is a small RNA of Streptomyces sparsogenes DSM 40356, 68 nucleotides long. It matches the Rfam family "Streptomyces RNA 2736". From Rfam's summary of the family: Identified by deep sequencing of transcriptome at the end of exponential growth phase. Appears smaller on northern blot than sequencing transcript. NCBI's taxonomy places the organism in Bacteria, Bacillati, Actinomycetota, Actinomycetes, Kitasatosporales, Streptomycetaceae. The record is from Rfam.
CCCCCGGCCGGAUCCCGUGGGGGGAAUCCGUAACCGGGAAUGGAAGCGCCCCGCUCCGACCCGUGGGG